RNAcentral lists this ribosomal RNA (442 nucleotides) under uncultured bacterium. RNAcentral's name for it is "partial 16S ribosomal RNA". It matches the Rfam family "Bacterial small subunit ribosomal RNA", at positions 338 to 795 of the family's 1533-position model. The record is from RNAcentral.
CCUACGGGUGGCAGCAGUGGGGAAUAUUGGGCAAUGGGCGCAAGCCUGACCCAGCAACGCCGCGUGAAGGAAGAAGGCUUUCGGGUUGUAAACUUCUUUUAUUAGGGACGAAAGAAAUGACGGUACCUCAUGAAUAAGCCACGGCUAACUACGUGCCAGCAGUCGCGGUAAUACGGAGGAUGCGAUCGUUAUCCGGAUUUAUUGGGUUUAAAGGGUUCGUGGGCGGAUUUUUAAGUCAGCGGUAAAAUGUCCGGGCCCAACCCGGGACGGCCGUUGAAACUGGGGGUCUUGAGUAGGCGAGAGGUAUGCGGAAUGCGUGGUGUAGCGGUGAAAUGCAUAGAUAUCACGCAGAACUCCGAUUGCGAAGGCAGCAUACCGGCGCACGACUGACGCUGAGGCACGAAAGCGUGGGGAUCGAACAGGAUUAGAUACCCGAGUAGUC